GACGAACGCUGGCGGCGUGCUUAACACAUGCAAGUCGAACGGAAAGGCCCUGCUUUUGUGGGGUGCUCGAGUGGCGAACGGGUGAGUAACACGUGAGUAACCUGCCCUUGACUUUGGGAUAACUUCAGGAAACUGGGGCUAAUACCGGAUAGGAGCUCCCGCUGCAUGGUGGGGGUUGGAAAGUUUCGGCGGUUGGGGAUGGACUCGCGGCUUAUCAGCUUGUUGGUGGGGUAGUGGCUUACCAAGGCUUUGACGGGUAGCCGGCCUGAGAGGGUGACCGGCCACAAUGGGACUGGGAUACGGCCCGGACUCCUACGGGAGGCAGCAGUGGGGGAUAUUGCACAAUGAGCGGAAGCCUGAUGCGGCAACGCCGCGUGCGGGAUGACGGCCUUCGGGUUGUAAACCGCUUUCGCCUGUGACGAAGCGUGAAUGACGGUGAUGGGUAAAGAAGCACCGGCUAACUACGUG
Molecule: ribosomal RNA, 468 nt
Filed under: uncultured bacterium
Lineage: Bacteria
Description: partial 16S ribosomal RNA
Rfam family: Bacterial small subunit ribosomal RNA
Source: RNAcentral